CAGAUGUUGAACGUGAAGGAUAACGUUGCGUCAGCAACGGCCCGUAGGGCGAGGCAAAGCCGAGUCAUCCUGCACGACCCACCA
RNAcentral lists this small RNA (84 nucleotides) under Salmonella enterica subsp. enterica serovar Kentucky. Its description in RNAcentral is "partial RtT sRNA". It matches the Rfam family "RtT RNA", at positions 49 to 130 of the family's 130-position model. From Rfam's summary of the family: This family represents a bacterial cis-regulatory element known as RtT RNA. The exact function of RtT is unknown although it is thought that it may be involved in changing the cellular response in relation to amino acid starvation. The record is from RNAcentral. Lineage: Bacteria; Pseudomonadati; Pseudomonadota; Gammaproteobacteria; Enterobacterales; Enterobacteriaceae.